This 240-nucleotide ribosomal RNA is filed under the name uncultured bacterium. RNAcentral describes it as "partial 16S ribosomal RNA". It matches the Rfam family "Bacterial small subunit ribosomal RNA", at positions 98 to 334 of the family's 1533-position model. The record is from RNAcentral.
CCGCACGGGUGAGUAACACGUAUGCAAUCCACCUGUAACAGGGGGAUAACCCGGAGAAAUCCGGACUAAUACCCCAUAAUAUGGGCGCUCCGCAUGGAGAGCCCAUUAAAGAGAGCAAUUUUGGUUACAGACGAGCAUGCGCUCCAUUAGCCAGUUGGCGGGGUAACGGCCCACCAAAGCGACGAUGGAUAGGGGUUCUGAGAGGAAGGUCCCCCACAUUGGUACUGAGACACGGACCAA